UUGGCGGCGAUGCCUAAUCAUGCAAGCUCGAGCGGACAGAUGGGUAGCUUGCUCCCUGAUGUUAGCGGCGGACGGGUGAGUAACACGUGGGUAACCUGCCUGUAAGACUGGGAUAACUCCGGGAAACCGGGGCUAAUACCGGAUGGUUGUCUGAACCGCAUGGUUCAGACAUAAAAGGUGGCUUCGGCUACCACUUACAGAUGGACCCGCGGCGCAUUAGCUAGUUGGUGAGGUAACGGCUCACCAAGGCGACGAUGCGUAGCCGACCUGAGAGGGUGAUCGGCCACACUGGGACUGAGACACGGCCCAGACUCCUACGGGAGGCAGCAGUAGGGAAUCUUCCGCAAUGGACGAAAGUCUGACGGAGCAACGCCGCGUGAGUGAUGAAGGUUUUCGGAUCGUAAAGCUCUGUUGUUAGGGAAGAACAAGUGCCGUUCAAAUAGGGCGGCACCUUGACGGUACCUAACCAGAAAGCCACGGCUAACUACGUGCCAGCAGCCGCGGUAAUACGUAGGUGGCAAGCGUUGUCCGGAAUUAUUGGGCGUAAAGGGCUCGCAGGCGGUUUCUUAAGUCUGAUGUGAAAGCCCCCGGCUCAACCGGGGAGGGUCAUUGGAAACUGGGGAACUUGAGUGCAAAAGAGGAAAGUGGAAUUCCACGUGUACGGUGAAUUGCUAAAGAUGUGAGGAACACCAUUGGCAAGCACUCUCUGGUCUGUAACUACCUGAGACAAACGGGGCAACGGAUUAAUACCCUGGUA
RNAcentral lists this ribosomal RNA (757 nucleotides) under Bacillus sp. Bac82W1. RNAcentral describes it as "bacterial SSU rRNA". It matches the Rfam family "Bacterial small subunit ribosomal RNA", at positions 36 to 792 of the family's 1533-position model. The record is from RNAcentral. Lineage: Bacteria; Bacillati; Bacillota; Bacilli; Caryophanales; Bacillaceae.